RNAcentral lists this ribosomal RNA (651 nucleotides) under uncultured bacterium. RNAcentral's name for it is "bacterial SSU rRNA". It matches the Rfam family "Bacterial small subunit ribosomal RNA", at positions 8 to 653 of the family's 1533-position model. The record is from RNAcentral.
AGGGUUUGAUCAUGGCUCAGAUUGAACGCUGGUGGUAUGCUUAACACAUGCAAGUCGAACGGUAACAUUGGAGCUUGCUCCAGAUGACGAGUGGCGGACGGGUGAGUAACGCGUAGGAAUCUGCCUAGUAGUGGGGGACAACAUGUGGAAACGCAUGCUAAUACCGCAUACGCCCUACGGGGGAAAGCGGGGGAUCUUCGGACCUCGCGCUAUUAGAUGAGCCUGCGUUAGAUUAGCUUGUUGGUGGGGUAAUGGCCUACCAAGGCGACGAUCUAUAGCUGGUCUGAGAGGACGAUCAGCCACACUGGGACUGAGACACGGCCCAGACUCCUACGGGAGGCAGCAGUGGGGAAUAUUGGACAAUGGGCGCAAGCCUGAUCCAGCAAUACCACGUGUGUGAAGAAGGCCUGAGGGUUGUAAAGCACUUUCAAUCGGGAGGAAAACAGCUGGGUUAAUAGCCCUGCUCUUGACAUUACCUUUAGAAGAAGCACCGGCUAACUCCGUGCCAGCAGCCGCGGUAAUACGGAGGGUGCGAGCGUUAAUCGGAAUUACUGGGCGUAAAGCGUACGUAGGCGGUUAUUUAAGUCAGAUGUGAAAGCCCCGGGCUCAACCUGGGAGCUGCAUUUGAAACUGGAUAACUAGAGUUUGAUA